RNAcentral lists this ribosomal RNA (258 nucleotides) under uncultured bacterium. RNAcentral describes it as "partial 16S ribosomal RNA". It matches the Rfam family "Bacterial small subunit ribosomal RNA", at positions 793 to 1055 of the family's 1533-position model. The record is from RNAcentral.
GUCCACGCCCUAAACUAUGAUCACUCGUUGUUGGCGAUACACAGUCAGCGACUAAGGGAAACCAUUAAGUGAUCCACCUGGGGAGUACGACCGCAAGGUUGAAACUCAAAGGAAUUGACGGGGGCCCGCACAAGCGGAGGAGCAUGUGGUUUAAUUCGAUGAUACGCGAGGAACCUUACCUGGGCUUGAAAGUUAGUGACCGCUCCUGAAAGGGAGCCUUCCGCAAGGACACGAAACUAGGUGCUGCAUGGCUGUCGU